This 303-nucleotide ribosomal RNA is filed under the name uncultured bacterium. RNAcentral describes it as "partial 16S ribosomal RNA". It matches the Rfam family "Bacterial small subunit ribosomal RNA", at positions 507 to 807 of the family's 1533-position model. The record is from RNAcentral.
AGCAGUCGCCGCGGGAAUACGUAGGGUGCGAGCGUUAAUCGGAAUUACUGGGCGUAAAGCGUGCGCAGGCGGUUCGUUAAGACAGAUGUGAAAUCCCUGGGCUUAACCUGGGAACUGCAUUUGUGACUGGCGAGCUAGAGUAUGGCAGAGGGGGGUAGAAUUCCACGUGUAGCAGUGAAAUGCGUAGAGAUGUGGAGGAAUACCGAUGGCGAAGGCAGCCCCCUGGGCCAAUACUGACGCUCAUGCACGAAAGCGUGGGGAGCAAACAGGAUUAGAUACCCCAGUAGUCCCUGUCUCUUAUAC